UAACAUGAUUGAACUGAAGAGUUUGAUCCUGGCUCAGAUUGAACGCUGGCGGCAUGCCUAACACAUGCAAGUCGAACGGUAACAGGCGAAAGCUUGCUUUUGCGCUGACGAGUGGCGAACGGGUGAGUAAUGCUUAGGAAUCUGCCCAGUAG
RNAcentral lists this ribosomal RNA (152 nucleotides) under Gammaproteobacteria bacterium. Its description in RNAcentral is "partial 16S ribosomal RNA". It matches the Rfam family "Bacterial small subunit ribosomal RNA", at positions 1 to 136 of the family's 1533-position model. The record is from RNAcentral. Lineage: Bacteria; Pseudomonadati; Pseudomonadota; Gammaproteobacteria.